Ictalurus punctatus (channel catfish) is the source of this 714-nucleotide long non-coding RNA. The record is from Ensembl. NCBI's taxonomy places the organism in Eukaryota, Metazoa, Chordata, Actinopteri, Siluriformes, Ictaluridae.
CCACAACCAAAAUCUACUGGAAAGUCUUCCCAGAAGCACACAUGGGUGUGACGGUCAGGUGUCCACAAACUUUUGGUCAUGUAGUUUAAUUGUUAGUCUGAUGUUAGAUAACUUGUUAGCAUACCUGGUUACUGGUUUACACUACAUUAUAUUUAGCCUAAUAUUAUAUAACUUGACAGUGCCUCUGUUAUUACUUUGCCUAAAGCAGUGGUCACCAACCCUCUUCCUUGAGAUGUACCUUCCCGCGGGUUUCGUCUCCAACCAAAUUCUAACACACCUGUUUUAUCUGACCAAGAAAGGCAAUGAUUAAAUGGUCAGGUGGGCACGAUUAUGCUUGGAGCUAAAGUCUUCAGGGAGGUAGAUCUCCAGGAACAGUGUUGGUGACCACUGGCCUAAAGCAUGAUUAUUUUAUGGCUUUUUUUCCUAUCAGUUGUAUUCAUUGUUAGAUACAGGUAACCCAUCUCACAUUAAGACCUGUACCUGUGUACAAAAAUAUGGGACAAAUCGCAGCAUUAUAUUUUUCAAUACAGCACAACAGGCGUGGCAACCCUAUGUCAGGUUUGGAAACAUUUGCUCAACACUGUUGUAUUUAAAAGUCAAAAUGUAAAACUUUACAGAGUCUGUACAGAGCAAGGCUGAAAUGUGUGGUGCGGAUCUGUUGAAAACAGAUUUAAGGUACAGAGUGAUGAAAGAAUAACUACAAGUAUUUAAAGU